Molecule: long non-coding RNA, 1367 nt
Organism: Dioscorea cayenensis subsp. rotundata (Guinea yam)
Lineage: Eukaryota; Viridiplantae; Streptophyta; Magnoliopsida; Dioscoreales; Dioscoreaceae
Exons: 4
Source: RefSeq, a predicted model, not a curated record
UUGAAUUGAUUUAAAACCUUAUCUUUGAGUAGAUCUCAAACUUUAUUUUGAAUAGAUUUCAGACUCUCCUUUUUUGCUUUAAUAUAUUAUGAGCUUAUUAAAUGUGUGGGUUUCCUUCUAUUUAGGUGAUAUUCUUGACAUAAGUGAACAUGGGGAAGAUCAAGCUAGCGUCUCCAGACUGGGAUCUAACCCAAUAGCUUCUUCCCCAAAGAUGAGCCCCUCCACACAUGACUCUUUGUUUCCAGAUUUUGCACAUGACGAUAACUACAUACCCAUCCUUGAUGCUAAUCCUCCCAUAGAAAGCCCAUUUAAAAAAAAAGCUUCAAAGUCACCACGAGUCAUCCCUUUUCCUCAACAUGCAAAAGAAGACUCUACUCCAAAAGCUAUGGGGGUUGCAUCUAUGAGCUCAUCUCAUCCUCAACUUGUUAGAAAAGACAAUGGCUUGGAAUCUUUUUGGGUGAUAUUCUUGACAUAAGUGAACAUGGGGAAGAUCAAGCUAGCGUCUCCAGACCGGGAUCUAACCCAAUAGCUUCUUCCCCAAAGAUGAGCCCCUCCACACAUGACUCUUUGUUUUCAAAUUCAUAGAAAGCCCAUUUCAAAAGAAGCUUCAAAGUCACCACGAGUCAUCCCUUCUCCUCAACAUGCAAAAGAAGACUCUAGUACAAAAGCAUUGGGGGUUGCAUCUAUGAGCUCAUCUCAUCCUCAACUUGUUAGAAAAGACAAUGGCUUGGAAUCUUUUUGGGUAAAUGUGCUCAUUGAAAGGGUGAAAUCAUCAUGCCCUCAUGAACAUGAAUCUUUGAGAGAGAAAACUACAAAAUUGCACAAAAACUUGAUGACACAUGGAACUGACAUUUCAAUCACAAGGGACAAUAUAUAUGAAGUACUUGAUAUAGCGAAGAUUGCCCAUGACACAAAUAAUGGAGGAAACGACCUAAACUCAGUCGAAAAGGAGGAAUUGAUGGCGAAAGAGAAAAGGCUAAAGAAAACUAAAUUGUCUCUCACAGCAAUGUCCCAACAUAUGGAUGAGGCUAAUAUGGAGCUCAUGCAAAUAAGAUAGAAAUUGGAAGAAUGGAGAGCCCAAGGGGAAGAAUUGAAAGCGCAAGAAAAAGAAAAGAACAAAUUAUUUCCAUAGAAAUGGGACUAUUAUCUGAUGCCUCUCCCAUUGAAGAAGUGAACAAAUCCCUCGUUGAUUUUCAUCAAAAAAUUGAAGCACUUGGAGGAAGUGGCGAUAAAUUACAACCCUCAUUGUCAUCUAAGGAGGCCCUCGCCAACUUUGAGAGAGCGAAAGCUCAACUUUAGGCUUAGCUUAUUUUUAUCUUCAAAUUUAGCUUAGUUUACUUCCAUUGCUUAGUUUUAGGCCCUAGCUA